AAAUGGGGCGGUACACCUGUCAAAGUGUAACGCAGGUGUCCCAAGGCGAGCUCAGGGAGGACGGAAACAUUCCACGGAGCAGAAGGCAAAAGCUCACUUGAUCUUGAUUUUCAGUACGAAAACAGACUUUGAAGAUGA
RNAcentral lists this non-coding RNA (138 nucleotides) under Apaloderma vittatum (bar-tailed trogon). RNAcentral's name for it is "Eukaryotic large subunit ribosomal RNA". It matches the Rfam family "Eukaryotic large subunit ribosomal RNA", at positions 2623 to 2761 of the family's 3401-position model. The record is from Rfam by way of RNAcentral. Lineage: Eukaryota; Metazoa; Chordata; Aves; Trogoniformes; Trogonidae.